This 493-nucleotide ribosomal RNA is filed under the name uncultured bacterium. RNAcentral describes it as "partial 16S ribosomal RNA". It matches the Rfam family "Bacterial small subunit ribosomal RNA", at positions 28 to 506 of the family's 1533-position model. The record is from RNAcentral.
GACGAACGCUGGCGGCGUGCUUAACACAUGCAAGUCGAACGGAAAGGCCUGUCCUUCCUUGUGUUGGACGGGUACUCGAGUGGCGAACGGGUGAGUAACACGUGAGUGAUCUGCCCCCAACUUGGGUAUAAGCCUGGGAAACUGGGUCUAAUUCCCGAUAGGACUGCAGGGUGGUGCCUGUGGUGGAAAACGAUUUUCUAGUGGUUGGGGAUGAGCUCGCGGCCUAUCAGCUUGUUGGUGGGGUAAUGGCCUACCAAGGCGGCGACGGGUAGCCGGCCUGGGAGGGUGGACGGCCACAUUGGGACUGAGAUACGGCCCAGACUCCUACGGGAGGCAGCAGUGGGGAAUAGUGCACAAUGGGCGGAAGCCUGAUGCAGCGACGCCGCGUGGGGGAUGACGGCCUUCGGGGUGUAAACUCCUUUCGACCGCGAGGAAGCCGCCUGGUGGGAAGGGUGGUGACGGUAGUGGUAGAAGAAGCACCGGCUAACUACGU